GCAAGAUUAAAACUCAAAGGAAUAGACGGGGACCCGCACAAGUGGUGGAGCAUGUGGUUUAAUUCGAAGAUACGCGAAGAACCUUACCUAGCCUUGACAUUGAUAGAAUCUUCCAGAGAUGGAGGAGUGCCUUUCGGGGAACUUGAAAACAGGUGCUGCACGGCUGUCGUCAGCUCGUGUCGUGAGAUGUUGGGUUAAGUCCCGCAACGAGCGCAACCCUCGUCAUUAGUUACUAACAGUUCGGCUGAGGACUCUAAUGAGACUGCCUUCGUAAGGAGGAGGAAGGUGAGGACAACGUCAAGUCAUCAUGGCCCUUACGGCUAGGGCGACACACGUGCUACAAUGGUUAGGACAAUGAGAAGCGAUACCGCGAGGUGGAGCAAAUCUAUAAACCUAAUCUCAGUUCGGAUUGUAGUCUGCAACUCGACUACAUGAAGCUGGAAUCACUAGUAAUCGUAGAUCAGCCAUGCUACGGUGAAUACGUUCCCGGGUCUUGUACUCACCGCCCGUCACACCAUGGGAGUUGAUUUCACCCGAAGCGGGGAAGCUAAACUGGCUACCCUCCACGGUGGAAUUAGCGACUGGGGUGAAGUCGUAACAAGGUA
This 605-nucleotide ribosomal RNA is filed under the name uncultured bacterium. RNAcentral's name for it is "bacterial SSU rRNA". It matches the Rfam family "Bacterial small subunit ribosomal RNA", at positions 888 to 1498 of the family's 1533-position model. The record is from RNAcentral.